CCAGCAGCCGCGGUAAUUCCAGCUCUCUCAAUAUAUAGAAUUAUUGUUGCGGUUAAAAAGUUCGUAGUUGGAUUUCACACCGAUCGUGGGUCGGGCUUAACGGCUCGUACUCACGUCGGCGUUUGCACUGUCGGUGCUUGCACUGGCAAUGCAGAUUACUUUGAACGGCUUAAGUGCUCAAGGCGAGUCUUCGGACUGAAUACCGGUGCAUGGAAUAAUGGAACAAGGUUUCGGCCGAGUUUUGUUGGUUUUGUCGGCUAAAACAAUGGUUAACAGGAACAGCUGGGGGCACUAGUAUCGCUGCGCGAGAGGUGAAAUUCGUGGACCGCAGCGAGACUCCCUAA
Molecule: ribosomal RNA, 344 nt
Filed under: uncultured eukaryote
Lineage: Eukaryota
Description: SSU rRNA
Rfam family: Eukaryotic small subunit ribosomal RNA
Source: RNAcentral